GACGGAGGGGGCAAGCGUUGUCCGGAAUUACUGGGCGUAAAGCGCUCGUAGGCGGUCCUUUACGGCGAUGGUGAAAGCUCCCGGCUCAACUGGGAGAGGCCCGUCGCAACGGGGGGACUCGAGGGUGGUAGAGGCAGAUGGAAUUCCUGGUGUAGCGGUGAAAUGCGUAGAGAUCAGGAGGAACACCCAUGGCGAAGGCAGUCUGCUGGGCCACACCUGACGCUGAGGAGCGAAAGCCAGGGGAGCGAAC
This 250-nucleotide ribosomal RNA is filed under the name uncultured bacterium. RNAcentral describes it as "partial 16S ribosomal RNA". It matches the Rfam family "Bacterial small subunit ribosomal RNA", at positions 524 to 773 of the family's 1533-position model. The record is from RNAcentral.